Molecule: long non-coding RNA, 723 nt
Filed under: Marmota monax (woodchuck)
Lineage: Eukaryota; Metazoa; Chordata; Mammalia; Rodentia; Sciuridae
Source: RNAcentral
CCAAAACUGCAGUUUUUGCUGCUGAAAUCUUCUUAUUUCAGAUAUUUCAGAAACUAAUAAAAACAACUAUAUUGAUUUUGCUAUAAUCCUCAAAUAUACAUAGGUUCAAUGCAAAAUACAGUUAGCAUUGGACACCUGUUAUUCCUUUAUUCUUAAAUAAACUUAUUAGGAGUCUGUGCUAUGAUGAUGGUAUAUUUUGUGCACUUCUUGGAAUAAAUAAUGUACAUAAAUCAUUAAAAUGCAUAUUCAGUGGGAAGCCAUCUGGCUUCAUGUGAAUUUAUGAAUAUUUUAGCUUGUUCAGCUAGUCAAAAGUAAAAUCUGGCACUAGGGAUUAUCAUGUAGAUUUGUGAGAGUAUUAUAAAAAUUUUGCUUCCAUAAAUCAAUGAUUGACACAUCUACUACAUUUUCUUUCUUUCAUUACAGAUUGAGUCCACUUAAAAUAUGUACAAUAUUGCAUGAUUAGUUUGAAAGUCAUCAUAAUUCAUCUUGAAUUAGAACAUGCAUAUUUCAUUAAAAUAGUUUUAUGUAAAAAGGGAAUCUUGGCAUUGAUUUGGACUUUAUAAGUUAUUGUGGUGGACACUGUGAUGUGGCACCCAGAUCCUUUUUCAAUGACAGACCGGAUGCUUGAGCUACUGGGAAUGCUGUUAGUAGAGGGCCUUCAGGUGUUAGCCCCAUUCACAGAAAUGAAAAAUAUUAGAAGUGCCUCACACUUGCCUCAGUCAC